RNAcentral lists this ribosomal RNA (265 nucleotides) under uncultured prokaryote. Its description in RNAcentral is "partial 16S ribosomal RNA". It matches the Rfam family "Bacterial small subunit ribosomal RNA", at positions 524 to 788 of the family's 1533-position model. The record is from RNAcentral.
UACGGAGGAUCCGAGCGUUAUCCGGAUUUAUUGGGUUUAAAGGGUGCUCAGGCGGGCCAUUAAGUCGGCGGUGAAAUUUUGCGGCUCAACCGUAAAAGUGCCUUCGAUACUGGUGGUCUUGAGUGUGGAUGAGGUAGGCGGAAUUUGUGGUGUAGCGGUGAAAUGCAUAGAUAUUACACAGAACACCGAUUGCGAAGGCAGCUUUCUAAGCUGGAUCUGACGCUGAGGCACGAAAGCGUGGGUAGCGAACAGGAUUAGAUACCCU